RNAcentral lists this long non-coding RNA (367 nucleotides) under Mustela putorius furo (domestic ferret). RNAcentral's name for it is "lncRNA (ENSMPUG00000024640.1)". The record is from RNAcentral. Lineage: Eukaryota; Metazoa; Chordata; Mammalia; Carnivora; Mustelidae.
CGGGAUGGCAGGUUGGAAGACAAAACCAGGGAAAGCCAAGACUGAGGGCCACGCAGAGCAGAACUCAGAAUAUGAAGACACAUAGCCUUAGAGACCAGGGAAUGUUCUGUUGGAAGCAAUCAUCAGUCAAUGGUUCCUUCUGAACUCACCAUAGGAGCCCAAGUCCAAGGCAGCUUUCCCAUCCAGGAAAAUCUGUCUUCUCUACUAGGAGGUCAAACGUGAAACACAGGAGACAGGAGAAAAGUCUCGGAUGGCCUCACCUUCUGCAGCCAGAGCCCUGGAAAGCCACCCCACUGCCACCAGGCGCCAGAGAGGCACCCUGUGAUACGAUGAUUGGAAGAUCAGGAUAUACGCUCCAUUUACUCAC